GACGUAGGGUGCGAGCGUUGUCCGGAUUUAUUGGGCGUAAAGAGCUCGUAGGCGGCUCGUCGCGUCGACCGUGAAAACCCGCGGCUUAACUGCGGGCUUGCGGUUGAUACGGGCGGGCUAGAGUUCGGUAGGGGAGACUGGAAUUCCUGGUGUAGCGGUGAAAUGCGCAGAUAUCAGGAGGAAUACCGGUGGCGAAAGCGACUCUCUGGACGGCAACUGACGCUGAGGCACGAAAGCGUGGGGAGCAAACAGG
This 253-nucleotide ribosomal RNA is filed under the name uncultured bacterium. RNAcentral describes it as "partial 16S ribosomal RNA". It matches the Rfam family "Bacterial small subunit ribosomal RNA", at positions 524 to 776 of the family's 1533-position model. The record is from RNAcentral.